RNAcentral lists this ribosomal RNA (465 nucleotides) under uncultured bacterium. RNAcentral describes it as "bacterial SSU rRNA". It matches the Rfam family "Bacterial small subunit ribosomal RNA", at positions 328 to 794 of the family's 1533-position model. The record is from RNAcentral.
GCACCAGACUCCUACGGGAGGCAGCAGUGGGGAAUAUUGCACAAUGGGGGGAACCCUGAUGCAGCGACGCCGCGUGGGUGAAGGAGCCCCUCGGUGCGUAAACCCCUAUCGGCAGGGAAGAAAAGCGAACAGGUUCGCCUGGACGGUACCUGACUAAGAAGCCCCGGCUCACUACGUGCCAGCAGCCGCGGGAAUACGUAGGGGGCGAGCGUUAUCCGGAUUCACUGGGGGUAAAGGGAGCGUAGACGGCCAUGCAAGCCAGGGGUGAAAGCCCGGGGCCCAACCCCGGGACUGCCCUUGGAACUGCAUGGCUGGAGUGCGGGAGGGGCAGGCGGAAUUCCUGGUGUAGCGGUGAAAUGCGUAGAUAUCAGGAGGAACACCGGCGGCGAAGGCGGCCUGCUGGGCCGCGACUGACGUUGAGGCUCGAAAGCGUGGGGAGCGAACAGGAUUAGAUGCCCGCGUAAC